This 2749-nucleotide ribosomal RNA is filed under the name Escherichia coli. Its description in RNAcentral is "partial 23S ribosomal RNA". It matches the Rfam family "Bacterial large subunit ribosomal RNA". The record is from RNAcentral. Lineage: Bacteria; Pseudomonadati; Pseudomonadota; Gammaproteobacteria; Enterobacterales; Enterobacteriaceae.
GGUGGAUGCCCUGGCAGUCAGAGGCGAUGAAGGACGUGCUAAUCUGCGAUAAGCGUCGGUGAGGUGAUAUGAACCGUUAUAACCGGCGAUUUCCGAAUGGGGAAACCCAGUGUGUUUCGACACACUAUCAUUAACUGAAUCCAUAGGUUAAUGAGGCGAACCGGGGGAACUGAAACAUCUAAGUACCCCGAGGAAAAGAAAUCAACCGAGAUUCCCCCAGUAGCGGCGAGCGAACGGGGAGGAGCCCAGAGCCUGAAUCAGUGUGUGUGUUAGUGGAAGCGUCUGGAAAGGCGCGCGAUACAGGGUGACAGCCCCGUACACAAAAAUGCACAUAUUGUGAGCUCGAUGAGUAGGGCGGGACACGUGGUAUCCUGUCUGAAUAUGGGGGGACCAUCCUCCAAGGCUAAAUACUCCUGACUGACCGAUAGUGAACCAGUACCGUGAGGGAAAGGCGAAAAGAACCCCGGCGAGGGGAGUGAAAAAGAACCUGAAACCGUGUACGUACAAGCAGUGGGAGCCUCUUUAUGGGGUGACUGCGUACCUUUUGUAUAAUGGGUCAGCGACUUAUAUUCUGUAGCAAGGUUAACCGAAUAGGGGAGCCGAAGGGAAACCGAGUCUUAACUGGGCGUUAAGUUGCAGGGUAUAGACCCGAAACCCGGUGAUCUAGCCAUGGGCAGGUUGAAGGUUGGGUAACACUAACUGGAGGACCGAACCGACUAAUGUUGAAAAAUUAGCGGAUGACUUGUGGCUGGGGGUGAAAGGCCAAUCAAACCGGGAGAUAGCUGGUUCUCCCCGAAAGCUAUUUAGGUAGCGCCUCGUGAAUUCAUCUCCGGGGGUAGAGCACUGUUUCGGCAAGGGGGUCAUCCCGACUUACCAACCCGAUGCAAACUGCGAAUACCGGAGAAUGUUAUCACGGGAGACACACGGCGGGUGCUAACGUCCGUCGUGAAGAGGGAAACAACCCAGACCGCCAGCUAAGGUCCCAAAGUCAUGGUUAAGUGGGAAACGAUGUGGGAAGGCCCAGACAGCCAGGAUGUUGGCUUAGAAGCAGCCAUCAUUUAAAGAAAGCGUAAUAGCUCACUGGUCGAGUCGGCCUGCGCGGAAGAUGUAACGGGGCUAAACCAUGCACCGAAGCUGCGGCAGCGACACUAUGUGUUGUUGGGUAGGGGAGCGUUCUGUAAGCCUGUGAAGGUGGCCUGUGAGGGUUGCUGGAGGUAUCAGAAGUGCGAAUGCUGACAUAAGUAACGAUAAAGCGGGUGAAAAGCCCGCUCGCCGGAAGACCAAGGGUUCCUGUCCAACGUUAAUCGGGGCAGGGUGAGUCGACCCCUAAGGCGAGGCCGAAAGGCGUAGUCGAUGGGAAACAGGUUAAUAUUCCUGUACUUGGUGUUACUGCGAAGGGGGGACGGAGAAGGCUAUGUUGGCCGGGCGACGGUUGUCCCGGUUUAAGCGUGUAGGCUGGUUUUCCAGGCAAAUCCGGAAAACCAAGGCUGAGGCGUGAUGACGAGGCACUACGGUGCUGAAGCGACAAAUGCCCUGCUUCCAGGAAAAGCCUCUAAGCAUCAGGUAACAUCAAAUCGUACCCCAAACCGACACAGGUGGUCAGGUAGAGAAUACCAAGGCGCUUGAGAGAACUCGGGUGAAGGAACUAGGCAAAAUGGUGCCGUAACUUCGGGAGAAGGCACGCUGAUAUGUAGGUGAAGCGACUUGCUCGUGGAGCUGAAAUCAGUCGAAGAUACCAGCUGGCUGCAACUGUUUAUUAAAAACACAGCACUGUGCAAACACGAAAGUGGACGUAUACGGUGUGACGCCUGCCCGGUGCCGGAAGGUUAAUUGAUGGGGUUAGCGGUAACGCGAAGCUCUUGAUCGAAGCCCCGGUAAACGGCGGCCGUAACUAUAACGGUCCUAAGGUAGCGAAAUUCCUUGUCGGGUAAGUUCCGACCUGCACGAAUGGCGUAAUGAUGGCCAGGCUGUCUCCACCCGAGACUCAGUGAAAUUGAACUCGCUGUGAAGAUGCAGUGUACCCGCGGCAAGACGGAAAGACCCCGUGAACCUUUACUAUAGCUUGACACUGAACAUUGAGCCUUGAUGUGUAGGAUAGGUGGGAGGCUUUGAAGUGUGGACGCCAGUCUGCAUGGAGCCGACCUUGAAAUACCACCCUUUAAUGUUUGAUGUUCUAACGUUGGCCCGUAAUCCGGGUUGCGGACAGUGUCUGGUGGGUAGUUUGACUGGGGCGGUCUCCUCCUAAAGAGUAACGGAGGAGCACGAAGGUUGGCUAAUCCUGGUCGGACAUCAGGAGGUUAGUGCAAUGGCAUAAGCCAGCUUGACUGCGAGCGUGACGGCGCGAGCAGGUGCGAAAGCAGGUCAUAGUGAUCCGGUGGUUCUGAAUGGAAGGGCCAUCGCUCAACGGAUAAAAGGUACUCCGGGGAUAACAGGCUGAUACCGCCCAAGAGUUCAUAUCGACGGCGGUGUUUGGCACCUCGAUGUCGGCUCAUCACAUCCUGGGGCUGAAGUAGGUCCCAAGGGUAUGGCUGUUCGCCAUUUAAAGUGGUACGCGAGCUGGGUUUAGAACGUCGUGAGACAGUUCGGUCCCUAUCUGCCGUGGGCGCUGGAGAACUGAGGGGGGCUGCUCCUAGUACGAGAGGACCGGAGUGGACGCAUCACUGGUGUUCGGGUUGUCAUGCCAAUGGCACUGCCCGGUAGCUAAAUGCGGAAGAGAUAAGUGCUGAAAGCAUCUAAGCACGAAACUUGC